GAUGAACGCUGGCGGCGUGCCUAAUACAUGCCAGUCGAGCGAACGGACGAGAAGCUUGCUUUUCUGAUGUUAGCGGCGGACGGGUGAGUAACACGUGGAUAACCUACCUAUAAGACUGGGAUAACUUCGGGAAACCGGAGCUAAUACCGGAUAAUAUUUUGAACCGCAUGGUUCAUAAGUGAAAGACGGUCUUGCUGUCACUUAUAGAUGGAUCCGCGCUUCAUUAGCUAGUUGGUAAGGUAACGGCUUACCAAGGCAACGAUGCAUAGCCGACCUGAGAGGGUGAUCGGCCACACUGGAACUGAGACACGGUCCAGACUCCUACGGGAGGCAGCAGUAGGGAAUCUUCCGCAAUGGGCGAAAGCCUGACGGAGCAACGCCGCGUGAGUGAUGAAGGUCUUCGGAUCGUAAAACUCUGUUAUUAGGGAAGAACAUAUGUGUAAGUAACUGUGCACAUCUUGACGGUACCUAAUCAGAAAGCCACGGCUAACUACGUG
RNAcentral lists this ribosomal RNA (497 nucleotides) under uncultured bacterium. RNAcentral describes it as "partial 16S ribosomal RNA". It matches the Rfam family "Bacterial small subunit ribosomal RNA", at positions 28 to 507 of the family's 1533-position model. The record is from RNAcentral.